AUUGAACGCUGGCGGCAUGCUUUACACAUGCAAGUCGAACGGCAGCGCGGGCUUCGGCCUGGCGGCGAGUGGCGAACGGGUGAGUAAUGCAUCGGAACGUGCCCAGUAGUGGGGGAUAGCCCGGCGAAAGCCGGAUUAAUACCGCAUACGACCUGAGGGUGAAAGCGGGGGACCGAAAGGCCUCGCGCUAUUGGAGCGGCCGAUGUCGGAUUAGCUAGUUGGUGGGGUAAAGGCUUACCAAGGCGACGAUCCGUAGCCGGUCUGAGAGGACGACCAGCCACACUGGGACUGAGACACGGCCCAGACUCCUACGGGAGGCAGCAGUGGGGAAUGUUGGACAAUGGGGGCAACCCUGAUCCAGCCAUGCCGCGUGCGAGAAGAAGGCCUUCGGGUUGUAAACCGCUUUUGUUCGGGAAGAAAUCCUCUGGGCUAAUACCCCGGGGGGAUGACGGUACCGGAAGAAUAAGCACCGGCUAACUACGUG
Molecule: ribosomal RNA, 484 nt
Filed under: uncultured bacterium
Lineage: Bacteria
Description: partial 16S ribosomal RNA
Rfam family: Bacterial small subunit ribosomal RNA
Source: RNAcentral